AUUGAACGCUGGCGGCAUGCCUUACACAUGCAAGUCGAACGGCAGCAUGGAAGAGCUUGCUCUUCUGAUGGCGAGUGGCGAACGGGUGAGUAAAGCAUCGGAACGUACCGUGUAGUGGGGGAUAACGUAGCGAAAGUUACGCUAAUACCGCAUACGCACUGAGGUGGAAAGCAGGGGAUCGCAAGACCUUGCGCUAUACGAGCGGCCGAUGUCAGAUUAGCUAGUUGGUGGGUAAAGGCCUACCAAGGCGACGAUCUGUAGCGGGUCUGAGAGGAUGAUCCGCCACACUGGGACUGAGACACGGCCCAGACUCCUACGGGAGGCAGCAGUGGGGAAUUUGGACAAUGGGCGAAAGCCUGAUCCAGCCAUGCCGCGUGAGUGAAGAAGGCCGUCGGGUUGUAAAGCUCUUUCGGCUGGGAAGAAAUCGCACAGGCUAAUACUCUGUGUGGAUGACGGUACCAGCACAAGAAGCACCGGCUAACUACG
Molecule: ribosomal RNA, 486 nt
Filed under: uncultured bacterium
Lineage: Bacteria
Description: bacterial SSU rRNA
Rfam family: Bacterial small subunit ribosomal RNA
Source: RNAcentral